RNAcentral lists this ribosomal RNA (549 nucleotides) under uncultured bacterium. RNAcentral's name for it is "bacterial SSU rRNA". It matches the Rfam family "Bacterial small subunit ribosomal RNA", at positions 796 to 1349 of the family's 1533-position model. The record is from RNAcentral.
CACGCUGUAAACGAUGAAUACUAGGUGUGGGAGGACUGACCCCUUCCGUGCCGCAGUUAACACAAUAAGUAUUCCACCUGGGGAGUACGACCGCAAGGUUGAAACUCAAAGGAAUUGACGGGGGCCCGCACAAGCAGUGGAUUAUGUGGUUUAAUUCGACGCAACGCGAAGAACCUUACCAGGAUUUGACAUCCAACUAACGAAGUAGAGAUACAUUAGGUGCCCUUCGGGGAAAGUUGAGACAGGUGGUGCAUGGUUGUCGUCAGCUCGUGUCGUGAGAUGUUGGGUUAAGUCCCGCAACGAGCGCAACCCCUAUUGUUAGUUGCUACGCAAGAGCACUCUAGCGAGACUGCCGUUGACAAAACGGAGGAAGGCGGGGACGACGUCAAAUCAUCAUGCCCUUUAUGUCCUGGGCUACACACGUAAUACAAUGGCCGUCAACAGAGGGAAGCAAUACCGCGAGGUGGAGCAAAUCCCUAAAAACGGUCUCAGUUCGGAUUGCAGGCUGCAACUCGCCUGCAUGAAGCUGGAAUUGCUAGUAUCGCGAUC